GAGUAAAGAUUUCGGUCGCUUUGGGAGGAGCUCGCUUACUAUCAGCUUGUUGGUAGGGUAAUGGCCUACCAAGGCUAUGACGGUUAGGGGGUGUGAGAGCAUGACCCCCAGCAUUGGCACUGAAACACUGGCCAAACACCUACGGGUGGCUGCAGUCGAGAAUCUUCCACAAUGGGGGAAACCCUGAUGGAGCGAUGCUGCGUGCGGGAUGAAGGCCUUCGGGUUGUAAACCGCUUUUGUAGGGGACGAAAUUUUUGACGGUACCCUUUCGAAUAAGAGGUUGCUAACUCUGUGCCAGCAGCAGCGGUAAUACAGAGACCUCAAGCGUUAUCCGGAUUUACUGGGCGUAAAGCGUCUGUAGGGGGUUUAUUAAGUUCCAAGUAAAAUUUCAAGGCUCAACUUUGAAUUCGCUUGGAAAACUAAUAAACUGGAGUCUAGCAGAGGUGCCAUGGAACUUGUGGUGUAGGAGUGAAAUCCGUUGAUAUCACAAGGAACACCAAAGGCGAAGGCAUUGCACUGGGCUAGCACUGACCCUGAGAGACGAAAGCGUGGGGAGCAAAACGGAUUAGAUACCCGUGUAGUCCAAGCCCUAAACGAUGAAUGCUAAAUGUUCGGGGACUCGACCCCCUGGGUGUUACAGCUAACGCGUUAAGCAUUCCGCCUGGGAAGUACGGCCGCAAGGCUAAAACUCAAAGGAAUAGACGGGGAUCCGCACAAGCGGUGGAGCGUCUGGUUUAAUUCGACAGUAAGCGUGGUACCUCACCAGGGUUUGACAUCCCUUGACAGUCUUGGGAACAAGGUUUCCUUCGGGCAAGGUGACAGGUGCUGCAUGGUCGACGUCAGUUCGUGCCGUGAGGUGUUCCGUUAAGUCGGGAAACGGACGUAACCCCUAUUGCAUGUUACAAUUU
RNAcentral lists this ribosomal RNA (908 nucleotides) under uncultured organism. RNAcentral's name for it is "bacterial SSU rRNA". It matches the Rfam family "Bacterial small subunit ribosomal RNA", at positions 199 to 1123 of the family's 1533-position model. The record is from RNAcentral.